AUACGGAGGAUCCGAGCGUUAUCCGGAUUUAUUGGGUUUAAAGGGAGCGUAGGUGGACAGUUAAGUCAGUUGUGAAAGUUUGCGGCUCAACCGUAAAAUUGCAGUUGAUACUGGCUGUCUUGAGUACAGUAGAGGUGGGCGGAAUUCGUGGUGUAGCGGUGAAAUGCUUAGAUAUCACGAAGAACUCCGAUUGCGAAGGCAGCUCACUGGACUGCAACUGACACUGAUGCUCGAAAGUGUGGGUAUCAAACAGGAUUAGAUACCCUGGUAGUCCGCACAGUAAACGAUGAAUACGCGCUGUUUGCGAUACACUGUAAGCGGCCAAGCGAAAGCGUUAAGUAUUCCACCUGGGGAGUACGCCGGCAACGGUGAAGCUCAAAGGAAUUGGCGGGG
RNAcentral lists this ribosomal RNA (393 nucleotides) under uncultured bacterium. RNAcentral describes it as "partial 16S ribosomal RNA". It matches the Rfam family "Bacterial small subunit ribosomal RNA", at positions 523 to 918 of the family's 1533-position model. The record is from RNAcentral.